UUAAAUAUGGAACGCCGUUUGUAGCAGCGAAAACAGACACCCCUUUUUUCUUUCGCACCCCUCUUUGUCUCGUUGUCUGCUUUAGUCGUCUGCUAACCGUUGCCAGCCCACACAGCUGACUGCUCAGGGCUCACAACAGUCGGAAGCCAUUCACCGAGCCAUUCACGUGCUCAUUGUAAUUAUCAGAAGGAGCAUGCAGUUUUAACUGUGUUUUACCUGUAGUCCAGGAGUGAUUAUUCUUAAAGAAAUUUCAUUAAAAUAUAAGAUAAAUUGUGAUUUCAACAUCGAGGAAGAACCGCGUUCUUUUUGGAAAGCAUUAAGGCUUUUUGUGUUCCUGUCAACUAUUGGGCAACUUGUCACUUUUCAAGACACCAGUUAUCAUCAGUGUUAUACUUUUUAUUUGUGACAACUACUGGCCUGCUUGCUUUUUAGUGAUGGAACUGAAAUUGAACGUUAUGAUCGUCGCAGAAAUUUGGAUAGUCGCAAUUCUCACAACUCAAAAAAGAAAGAUCAUCGAAGCCGCUCUCCUAUCGACAAGAGAAGUUUAUCCAAUGUAUCCAGUUCCUCAUAUUCUGACAACGGGUCCCCAUCUUACCACAACCGAUCUCGUUCUUCUUCGCCUGAUUUUCCUGGGCCAAAAUACAGUCAGAUGGUUAAUCGAUCCCUAAAGGACCUUGUGAAAGAAUCAAAGAAAGCUGUAAACUCAAGUUACGGUUCAUACAACCAAGACGGAAAACUUUCAAUUGGGAAAUCGACUGUCAAGUGUCAACAGGUGGAAUUCUAUUGUUUAAGAAAGUUGGAGUUUCCCAUUCGAAUCCCGGAAGACCAGGAAGAAAUAAAAUUAUCGAACGCUGGUUUGGGUUCAAAAGUUAUUGAAGUUCCCCUGAACCAAUCAGGCAAAGAAAUGAAAAAUCUGAUUCACUCAAACUUUCCGUCUUUAAAGGGAGACUUCAUCAUUGCAUGAAGAUUGAAAAGAGGAGAUAAAGUUCUAGAACCUGUCUUUAAAGAAGUACCGACAAUGGCUCAGCUCUUACAGAAAGCUCCGACAAAAACUAGCACAAUGUAUGUCGUCCCUUACGAGGAAAUUGAUAUCGCUGAUCGGGAGGAACGAGUCCGAUGUUCAAUAUGCAAUAAUUACAUUAAGGUUUCAAAGCGAUUUGAACACCACUUGAAGUGCUCUGAGAAAAAUAAUGCUUAACUUCCAUGAAUGUGAUGCUAUUAAUUCAGUGCCAGUUUACACCAGGCCAAAUUUUAUGUAAUUCAAUUAUCACAUUGCCACUAUUCAAUUGCAAGUUCUUCAUUGCUGCAAUUACCAGGAUGUGUGUUUUUAACUUUAACCAUUUUGUUUGAAUGUUUUUAUGUAAUCCAGUUAUUGCGGAAGAUUCGGCUCGUGUUUGUUUAACAAUACAACGAACUGAACCACA
Molecule: long non-coding RNA, 1424 nt
Filed under: Daphnia pulicaria
Lineage: Eukaryota; Metazoa; Arthropoda; Branchiopoda; Diplostraca; Daphniidae
Description: uncharacterized LOC124328838, transcript variant X1
Source: RNAcentral